GAUGAACGCUAGCUACAGGCUUAACACAUGCAAGUCGAGGGGCAGCAUGCAGGUAGCUUGCUAUCUGUGAUGGCGACCGGCGCACGGGUGAGUAACGCGUAUCCAACCUUCCCCUUAGUAGGGCAUAGCCCGGUGAAAAUCGGAUUAAUACCCUAUGCUGUAUUUUGAGGACAUCUGACGAAUACCAAAGGUUUACCGCUAAGGGAUGGGGAUGCGUCUGAUUAGGUAGUCGGCGGGGUAACGGCCCACCGAGCCAUCGAUCAGUAGGGGUUCUGAGAGGAAGGUCCCCCACAUUGGAACUGAGACACGGUCCAAACUCC
This 320-nucleotide ribosomal RNA is filed under the name uncultured Prevotella sp. RNAcentral's name for it is "bacterial SSU rRNA". It matches the Rfam family "Bacterial small subunit ribosomal RNA", at positions 28 to 339 of the family's 1533-position model. Lineage: Bacteria; Pseudomonadati; Bacteroidota; Bacteroidia; Bacteroidales; Prevotellaceae. The record is from RNAcentral.